Molecule: transfer RNA, 69 nt
Filed under: Xenapatidea procincta
Lineage: Eukaryota; Metazoa; Arthropoda; Insecta; Hymenoptera; Tenthredinidae
Description: tRNA-Gln
Rfam family: tRNA
About the family: Transfer RNA (tRNA) molecules are approximately 80 nucleotides in length. Their secondary structure includes four short double-helical elements and three loops (D, anti-codon, and T loops).
Source: RNAcentral
UAUAAAUUAGUGUAAUGACGCACAAAGAUUUUUGAAGUCUAUGGAAAUAGUUUAAUUCUAUUAUUAUAA